CAGUAUAAGUUUUCAAGAUACAAGUCGCACAAUUACUACCGGGGCUACAAGGGAGAAAUGUUACGAAUUUACAAAAGGAAUCAAAAUUCUAUUACAAAAGAACAAGUUAGAACUAUUCCCACCCAUGGUCAUUCAAAUUAUUCAAAUUACUCAAGUUCAAUCGUUCAAGCGUCUUUUAGUCACGAUUCAUUAUGUUACAGUACGUGCCAUUUCAAGAUUACAAAAAAAGUUACGAAGGUCCAAAGAAACUUUUACAAAAAAAGGGCAUUUAAUUAGUUACAAGAAAAUGUAUCCUAAGCUUUAUCUUCCAUCUUCAUCUUUUACCAUGGACUUCAUGA
Non-coding RNA from Vicia faba (fava bean), 338 nucleotides. The record is from the annotation of a GenBank genome assembly. Lineage: Eukaryota; Viridiplantae; Streptophyta; Magnoliopsida; Fabales; Fabaceae.